UUCCCCGCCUUUCAAUAAGCUUCACGUGCAGAGCGAAAACCGACCUUGCCCCACCCCAGCAGCAGCCGGGAUCCGCUGGGAUUGAUUGGGAUGGAUGGUGGGGAUCCACUGGGAUCCACUGGGAUCACUGGGAUCGAUGAGAGUGAGUGGGAUGGGUGGUGGGGAUCCACAGGCACCAUUGGGAUCCACUGGGAUGGAGGGUGGGGAUCCACAGGGACCACUGGGAUCCACUGGAAGUGACUGGGAUGGAUGGUGGGGAUCCAUGGGGAUCCACUGGGAGUGACUGGGAUGGUUGGUGGGGAUCCACAGGGACCAUUGGGAUCCACUGGGAGUGACUGGGAUGGAUGGUGGGGAUCCACUGGGAUCCACUGGGAUCAAUGAGAUUGACUGGGAUGGAUGGUGGGGAUCCACUGGGAUCACUGGGAUCCACUGGGAGUGACUGGGAUGGAUGGUGGGGAUCACUGGGAUCCACGGGGAUCACUGGGAUGGAGGGUGGGGAUCACUGGGAUCCCUGGGGAUCACUGGGAUCCAUGGGGAUCCCUGGGACGGAGGGUGGGGAUCCACAGGGAUCACUGGGAUGGAGGGUGGGGAUCCACGGGGAUCACUGGGAUCCACUGGGACGGAUGAUGGGGAUCCACAGGGAUCCACAGGGAUCAUGGGGAUCCCUGGGACGGAGGGUGGGGAUGUCCCCCACGGUCCCGGGGAGGAGCCGCGUCCUCGUGGCCUCGCUCCGUCACCUGCAACACAGAGAGGCGGCCCAGCUGAGUGCCCGGC
Molecule: long non-coding RNA, 774 nt
Filed under: Lonchura striata (white-rumped munia)
Lineage: Eukaryota; Metazoa; Chordata; Aves; Passeriformes; Estrildidae
Description: domestica (Bengalese finch) lncRNA (ENSLSDG00000003107.1)
Source: RNAcentral